Non-coding RNA from Xyrichtys novacula (pearly razorfish), 4279 nucleotides. The record is from the annotation of a GenBank genome assembly. NCBI's taxonomy places the organism in Eukaryota, Metazoa, Chordata, Actinopteri, Labriformes, Labridae.
CAGAGGAAAGGAGACAACCAGUAUGAUAAUGAAUGUGAUGCAUACAAAUGAAUACUGAUGCCUUAAAUGAUGCAACAGAAGCAAUUGGGAUCAUCGGCAUAAAGAUUGAUUACACCUCUUUAGUUAUUUUCACUGCCUAAGAUUGCAGCUGCAGGCUAAGUGCCAGAUACAGUCGGUAUCGAAAUAGCAACCACUUUACGCCUUGGCAAAGGUCUCAAGUGCUGCUUUCAAGAUAAAUACCUGGUUUUGCCCCGGAAAUUUCCCAAAUUGCUUGUUCACACGUCACCUUCAGAAUAAAUUUGUCCAUGUUGGACUGGAGGGGGUGGUGGGCAGAGGGGGUUGAGACCUGGAGGGCAGGAGAAAGCAAAGCAAAGCAAAGCAACAGAAUCUGAUGCUGUAAUGACAAUUUAUGUAAUUUUAUUUCUUUCUAAAUUUAGAUCAUUUUCAGGUGCUCGCAUUCACAUGUGCAGCACAAUUUCUGAAAUUUGGGACUUUCCUGCACCUGUGAAUACUACUUAUAUUUGACGCAUUUGACCAUGAACAGAAGCAAAAUAAGAUUUUUUUAAUGCAAAAAACAAAAUUUACAUAUUUAAAGGACAAAAUCAAACAAGAUGCGGUGAUCUACUUUGUCCACAGGGGGCGCCAAAAACAGAACAAAUGGAAAGUUAAUCACGGGCGCUUUAAAUGAGUACAUAUUUUCAUUCCCUUUUCAUUCCCAGUUCCCAUUAGACCAAAGAAAUAAAUGUCAUAUUUCUUCAAGGACGGUUAAAAUUGAACUUUCUCUGUCUCCUGAUUUGUUUGCGCUGAUAUCUGCCGCUUGUUUUGAAUUAUUAUUGCUUUGCCUGACCUCCUUUUCUCGAUGUUGCUGCACCUCAAGCUGUCAGAAACGUUCAGUCAGUCCAAACAACCGAACCAACACCCACAGAAACUGAUGAUUCAAAUCUUUUGUACCCAUUUCUCUCCCCUUACAUGAUAUUGUGUCGUCUCCCUCGCCCGCCUGACCUCCUCCGAUCGCCCACCUUCCUUCUCAUAUCCCGCCAUCUCCGCUCUGGUAAUCUUGCUGUGUUUGCACUCCUUCCAGUCUACCACACAGAUCCAGGUAAGGUAUGUGUUCAACGGAGGAAAAUGACUGACAAUGUGAGAUGAAAAAUCUUGUGGGGUGUCAAGGCUGGCUUAAUGUAAAAUUCGAUCGAACCUGGAGUGUCCCGAAGAUUAAUAGCUGCCAUUAUUCAUACUUGACUCAAGGUGCUCUGUGAGUGUUGUUUAUCUGAGAUUGUGAAUGUGUUUGUGUGGAUAAAAGAGAUGGAGAGGUGUGGGAAGAAAUAGUUCCUCUUGAGGCUGUGCUGCUGAUAGACACUUUCUGGUGAUAGUUGAACAAAGAAUGUGAUUUAAGGACGCACUCCUGCCUGCAAAAGUUUGGGGAAACUUCAUUACCUUGCGUGCUGAGGUCAGGAUUUCAGAGUGGAAACACAAGGUCGACUGUAACAUUACAUCUGAGGCGUCUUCCUCGCUCCUAUCACUUCCAAUUUGCUUGAUACAAGAGAGCUUCUUCCUCCCUCUGCUCUGGAAGAUAAUCGACAAUGAAAUUAAGUGGCGGCGGGCUCCCGUCAGUGGGGGAUUGAGGAGGAUGCGACAGCUCAGGGACUGAUGGAAGAUAAUUGCAGGACACGGUCACUAUCCUCAGGAGACCCAACCAUGUCUGGAGCUGUGAGUUGAGUCAUGUAUAAGGGUGCAGACACUGAGCAAAGAGCUAGGUCAGGCAGGUCAUGAAGCCCAGAUCCAGUGCUGUAUGUGUUGUCACUGAUGCUUUCAUUGUUCUGUGCCUUUAGGAGACUUUUGCCAAUGCUCUACCUUCAUUUUCAUGUGCUCUCCCAACCUUGGACUUUGGUGCUCCAUGAAAGCACAUGGAAGGAUCGGGACUAUCGGUGCAGUCCUGUACAUCCUAAUAGAAGUAUUUUUGGGUGCAAAUUUGAGCUCAAUCAGUUAGUUAGCAUCUCCUCUCUUUGCACACUGACUGUCGGCACACACCUAACGCAAGUAAAAUCAUUUGUGCAACUGAAUUACAUAUUGAAAGAAAUAUUCCAGCGUAAAAUUAAUUUAGAGUCAACACAACGUAACGUAACACAACGUCGCUGACCGCUUGCGAUACCAACUCUAGUAACUACAACAAGUUCGCAAUACACAACUAACUCAGUCUUAUCCUUUUGAGUCAAUGCUAAGACGCAAUUAGACACUCCUAUUACUCUGGCGGCGCGAAUAACGCAAAUUAGGCAGGAGCAGAAAAUGUCUCAACUUGAGUGGAUAUUUGCGUCCCGUUGCCCCCAAAACCAGAACAAAAAGGAGUUUGACUGGAGGCAAGUGAGGAGGUCGGAUUAUCUAGUAGAUUGUAAAAAACCAUGGUGUAUCGUUAGCAAUACAGUACUAACUCAGUGUUAUCCUUCUAAGUUAAUGCUAAGACGCAUUCGGACAGUCCUACUACUCUGGCAGCGCGUAUGACGCAAAUUGGGCGGGAGCUUAAAAUGUCUCAACUUGAGUGGAUAUUUGCGGAGCUCGCCUGGAGGCAAGUGAGUGUGGAGGUCGGAUUACCUGGUAAAUUGUAAAAAACCUUUGUCUAUCACUUGAUCCAGGUGGCAGGGAUUACCAUUGAAAUUACCGUUGACAUUCAAAUGAAGUGAGUAAAUAAUAUUCAUUUGCAAAUUGAGCAAGUAGGUGAUUGUACCUGCGCUUCCGUUGACGUGCGAAUGAAGUGAGUAAAUUCACGAACUGAGCGAGUAGCUUGAUGUGAGCGCCCCAUUAGACAUGUUUGAACAUCCCCACCACCCUGGAGAUAUACCGUGUCCUACAUAUACGCACUUAUCCGAUUGUGACGAAUCACAUUCUCCGCACCAGAGGAAGAAACAAACCCACAAACACGGAAACCCGACUUUACUUUCAUGUUAGCGGGUCGCUUCAUUUCAUCUUUUCUUCUGGCGUAUCUGUUGUCAUUCCAAGCGAGGCGUCUGUUCAAGAGCUGGCAAUUUGAUGCAGUUUAAGCCGACAAUUUGCAUGACACUGAAUUCAAUAGCUUGACAUUAGUGUUCUUUUAUUCAUGUGUUGCUUUUUCCUUGAGAGUUGAUUGCACAUUAGGAUAACACCAAACACCAUUUUGUUUUUUCAGCGUCUCUUGUCAGCGCCCGGCAGCCUGACUAAACACAGUUAAAGACCAGUGUCUGUCAGCGCUAAUUAUUCAUGCAAAUAGGCCCAGCUCUGUAAUUACAGCCUGUCCACAGUAUAAACACAUGCAUGCACACGCAAAACGAGGUCCACCCGCCACCCGGGGUAAGAUAGCAUCACUUUGUUUUUGAAAUGAUGAUUGUGACGAAGGAUAAAAAGGUCGACAUUAACACCACAGCUCUGUUUUACACAUAAUAACAGUGUUUAGUCAGGAAGAGAAUAGAGGUAAUUGUCACUCAGUUUUCACCCAUCCUAACCCUCGACUCAAUAUUCAAUUAUGCAACAUUACUCCAGAGAGGAAGAGCACAUUUUGUUCAUUUUACUAAUAAAGGGUGGCAUACUCAAUUGAAAUAAAUGAUAAAUGUCUGUGUAAAAUGUAAAAUAUUGGCAUUAUGCUAAAAAUAAGCUUGUUGUUACACAGUCUAAGAAUUAAGUAGGGAAGGUGAAGAAGCAGCAGCAGCUCGUGAGCUAGCUGUAGCAUCACUCUAAAAGAUGGUCAGAUACUUCUAAAACUGAUGUGAAUCCAACAAGAGUGUACGAAACCGUCCAUUUAGCAGUUUUCGUUUAGUUCUGCAACUUCCAAUCCGAUGCAGACGUUCAAAUUUCAAAAUAAAAGCAUGAUUCCAACAUAAAGGAACGAAAGCAACCUCAAUGCAAAAAUGUCAAAAUAAAAGCAUCACGAGAAAUUAUUUUAUUAUCUUCAUGCAAGAAUGAGAAUUUCAUAUAUAGGUGAAGUUGAGAAAGCCUCACAGUUUGUCUGUUUUCAGUAAAAAUGCUGAAAUUUUGAUGGUUCCCUGAUUGAGGUCUGGCUUGUUUACUGCUAAUGCUGAAACAUUUUAAGACACCACAGUUUAUUAUCCGUGCAGCUUUACUCGUUAUUUUUUAACUCCUCUUCAUUUCGCAUCUUAAAUCGGUGUAAAAAACAUCUUUAACUUUACUUCUCAUGACUUUUCAGUGAAAGCGAGCGUCUCAGGAGGGACGGCGAACAGGUGCGAGCUCAGCUGUGGGGGUUAAACAUGUAGGUGGAAAAUCGAAUCAAGCAUUAGUCAAAACAAGAUAUGUUUUG